AUGGCACGGCAUUUAACUACGAGAGUUAUGAAAUUCUCAGUGAUACUAAAAAUCAAGGAAAUACGGAUUCGGUGUCAGUGUAUAGACACUAUGGAAUACUAGCAGGACUGCUGGUGCUGCACUUCUGCCAGCAAACAUGAAAAUCAACUAUGGACUAAACAAAAAUACCGAUUUGCUGAUGUCUUCUACGAGGAAGGACCAGAACAUCCUCUUUGUUGCACAGUGACAUCAUAACUGAGAUUUUCACUGAAUUAAAGUCGGGAGCUUUGGAAAAAAGAAAAAUCUUUCUACUAAAUGUAUCCGUGUUGUUCAAGGCAGUUAAAAUUUUUAUAUGUGAUUUGAAAUUACCACAGAUUUUAUGCUGUUUAAGAUGCUUUACUGGGUCUAUGAAUUAUCCAACAAUCAUUAUCUGAGAAGCCUUUAUGAAACUGUAACCAACAUUUUCACUUUUGCAUAAAAAAAACCCCAAAAAAAUUAACAUAUGGUAUUUUUUACUUAUUGCUUUCACAAGUCAGGAUGUCUGAUUAAAGGGGUCCUAUGAUGUUGCUAAAAAAAAAACAUUAUUUUGUGCAUUUGGUGUAAUGCAAUGUGUUUAUGCCAUUUAAGGUAAAAAAAAAAAAAAUUCCACAUACUGUACUUUAUUGUUUCUCCUCUAUGCCCCACCUUUUUGAAACGCGUUGAUUUUUACAAAGCUCAUUGUUCUGAGAAGUGAGGUGUGCUCUGAUUGGCCAGCUAUCCAUUGCAUUGUGAUUGGCCUUAUACCUCAAACAUGUGAUGGAAAUAUUAG
Carassius carassius (crucian carp) is the source of this 787-nucleotide long non-coding RNA. RefSeq lists it as uncharacterized. The transcript has 3 exons. The record is from RefSeq and is a predicted model, not a curated record. NCBI's taxonomy places the organism in Eukaryota, Metazoa, Chordata, Actinopteri, Cypriniformes, Cyprinidae.